This 75-nucleotide transfer RNA is filed under the name Longispora fulva. Its description in RNAcentral is "tRNA-Pro". It matches the Rfam family "tRNA". Rfam says of the family: Transfer RNA (tRNA) molecules are approximately 80 nucleotides in length. Their secondary structure includes four short double-helical elements and three loops (D, anti-codon, and T loops). Further hydrogen bonds mediate the characteristic L-shaped molecular structure. tRNAs have two regions of fundamental functional importance: the anti-codon, which is responsible for specific mRNA codon recognition, and the 3' end, to which the tRNAs corresponding amino acid is attached (by aminoacyl-tRNA synthetases). tRNAs cope with the degeneracy of the genetic code in two manners: having more than one tRNA (with a specific anti-codon) for a particular amino acid; and 'wobble' base-pairing, i.e. permitting non-standard base-pairing at the 3rd anti-codon position. Lineage: Bacteria; Bacillati; Actinomycetota; Actinomycetes; Micromonosporales; Micromonosporaceae. The record is from RNAcentral.
CGGGGUAUGGCGCAGUUUGGUAGCGCGCUACGUUCGGGACGUAGAGGCCGUCGGUUCAAAUCCGGCUACCCCGAC